AGAGCAACUGACUCUUAAUCAGUAGGUUCGGGGUUCGAUUCCCUGUGGGCGCA
Molecule: transfer RNA, 53 nt
Filed under: Candidatus Latescibacterota bacterium
Lineage: Bacteria; Pseudomonadati; Candidatus Latescibacterota
Description: tRNA-Ser
Rfam family: tRNA
About the family: Transfer RNA (tRNA) molecules are approximately 80 nucleotides in length. Their secondary structure includes four short double-helical elements and three loops (D, anti-codon, and T loops). Further hydrogen bonds mediate the characteristic L-shaped molecular structure. tRNAs have two regions of fundamental functional importance: the anti-codon, which is responsible for specific mRNA codon recognition, and the 3' end, to which the tRNAs corresponding amino acid is attached (by aminoacyl-tRNA synthetases). tRNAs cope with the degeneracy of the genetic code in two manners: having more than one tRNA (with a specific anti-codon) for a particular amino acid; and 'wobble' base-pairing, i.e. permitting non-standard base-pairing at the 3rd anti-codon position.
Source: RNAcentral